Alligator mississippiensis (American alligator) is the source of this 1776-nucleotide long non-coding RNA. RefSeq lists it as uncharacterized. The record is from RefSeq and is a predicted model, not a curated record. NCBI's taxonomy places the organism in Eukaryota, Metazoa, Chordata, Crocodylia, Alligatoridae. The transcript has 5 exons.
UCUGCUUCCAUAUUUAUUUAUACACUGUCACUAAGUAUACUGUAACGUGCAUAGCUCAGAGCAAGAUUGGACUGUGAAAUUCUUAUAAAAACCCUAACGUAGCAUCUGGGCAGAGUCCAUCACAAGUUAAAAUAUCACCAUGACUCAGAAAAUAAAACCUUCCCUUGCUCAACAGAAAUACAACCUUAAACAGUUUUCACAGAUAUGCUCCAGAUUGCGGAUAUUUUGGUCUGUCUCUGUAUGGUAAUUCCUAAUGUUCCACUGAGUCCAGGUUCUUGCCUACAUGAAUGAUCCAGUGUAGAUGCUUUGGAAGAAGACAUGUUCCUGCCAUAAAAGGCAUCUAAUUAUGACCUGCUAAAUAGAUACAGUAUUGACUAUCAUAUAGUUACAAGCCAAUUGAAUUUGCUGCUGGCAGUUGAAAGAAAUUGGAGAGGAGACAAUGAAGCAGAGGGACCGGGACUCCCCCACUGUGAUUCAAGAUGGACUCGAGGGGAACGCCUCAAGACCUAAGGUUGAGGAGGACCAGGGAAGGAAUUCUACCUGAUCAACACAUCGAAGAACUACUCAACACAGCUCACAAAGACACUCUCAUGGACAGAGAGGGACAGCCUUCCAUCUUCAGCUCCCUCUUUGCAAAAAUGAAGUUUAUUUCCUACCUAUGGGAACUUUUUACCAUCUUGUUACCAUCUACACUUUUCCCAGAGCCUGACGAAGGGACUUUGAUCCCAAAAGCUUGCAGAAAAGGACAAUUUUCUUGCCAUUUUCCAGUUGGUCUAAUAAAAGGCUUUUUUUUUCAUCUUUUUUAUGUUUUUGUCAACAGCAUCAACUUACUUUUCUAUGGUUUUCUACUGUGAAUACCAUGCUAUUAUCCUGAACAGAGAAAGUGCUUUGGCUCUGCCAGAAGUUUAACAGAAAAGGAGGAUCCUGUCAUCCUAACUUUCCACCCAUCACAGCUUGAUGUUUCUAUCUGAGCUUGUUUAGUUCCAAUUUUUGACCAGCUGCAUCAGUUGAACUGUGAAAGGCAGACUGAUUGUUUCUAAUUAUUGUUUCAAUAGUCAGGGUAGCUUUGCUUUGUUGUCAGGACCCUCUUGUGCCUUCCUAAAGCUGUGAGAUAGGACAGUGUGGUAAUUAGUGGAGGUGAAACAACUUUUUUGAUUGAAUAUUUCACAGCUGUAAACAAUGCCCAGCUAGUGUCCAGUCUGUUUAUUCGAUUACUCCAGAAAGUGUAAACUGUGAAGAUUCUAUGCAUGCAGAGAGAUUGUUGGCCACCUGAUGGGGCGAGAGAAGAUAGUUAUUUCUCAUAAUUGUGACUUGUUUGAAAAGGUAGUAUAAUUGAGUUACUCUGACCUACUAAAAGGAAUGGAGAUGAUGAGAAUUAUUUUAAUCUAUAAUGUUGCUUUGUAAUGCGCUUGUAAGCUCUGAACUUCAAGGAGACCUUUAUAUUCAAGGUAAAUUUCCAGUGCUCUGCCUUGUGGGAAUUACCAUUCAUAGUUUGUGAGAGUGUAUCGUGCUACUACUCUGGCAAGUCACAUAUUGGCUGGCAUUGCAUAGGUAGUAAAAACUUCCAAUGGUAGUAACUACUUUUGGAGAACAUUGAUUGUUUGAAUGCUGCAGAUAAAUGUGAACUGAAAAACAUGUGUAAUGAAUUUAUAGGAUUAUUUUUUUCCUUAAUUUAAUUUCUUGUGUCUGGCUUUCUCUAUUCCUAUGCUAUUUCUAAAAUUGUAACAAAUUCAAUGUAAAACAUUUCUAAUAAAACUUGUAGCUUAAGUUAGGCAU